GGUUAACGCUGGCGGCGUGCCUAACACAUGCAAGUCGAACGGUUCUAAGCGCGAGCUUAGGAUAGUGGCGAACGGGUGAGUAAAAGGUAGGAAUCUACCCCUUGGACGGAGAUAGCUACUGGAAACGGUAGGUAAACUUCGAUAAGCCCGAGAGGGGAAAGUGGUGAGACAGCCGAGGGAUGAGCCUACUCUCCAUCAGGUAGUUGGUGAGAUAAAAGCUUACCAAGCCGAUGACGGAUAACCGGUGUGAGAGCAUGAACGGUCACAAGGGCACUGAGAGACGGGCCCUACUCCUACGGGAGGCAGCAGUGGGGAAUCUUGGACAAUGGGCGAAAGCCUGAUCCAGCGACGCCGCGUGGAGGAAGAAGUCCUUCGGGAUGUAAACUUCUGAACUAGCCGAAUAAAAGGCCUGUGGACACACAGGAGAAGAAAGUAGGCUAGGAAAAGUCCCGGCUAACUACGUGCCAGCAGCCGCGGUAAGACGUAGGGGGCAAGCGUUACCCGGAAUUACUGGGCGUAAAGGGGGCGUAGGCGGUAAAAGAAGUCAUCUGUGAAAACCUAUUGCUCAACGAUAGGCUAGCGGAUGAAACUGAAUUACUUGAGGGCACCAGAGGUAGACGGAAUUACCCGAGUAGGGGUGAAAUCCGCAGAUACGGGUAGGAACGCCGGUGGAGAAGUCGGUCUACUGGGGUGCACCAGACGCUGAGGCCCGAAAGCUAGGGGAGCAAACCGGAUUAGAUACCCGGGUAGUCCUAGCCGUAAACGAUGCUCACUAGUGUAGGGAGUGAUAAACUCUCUGUGCUGAAGCGAACGCGCUAAGUGAGCCGCCUGGGGAGUACGUCCGCAAGGAUG
RNAcentral lists this ribosomal RNA (852 nucleotides) under uncultured bacterium. RNAcentral describes it as "bacterial SSU rRNA". It matches the Rfam family "Bacterial small subunit ribosomal RNA", at positions 28 to 896 of the family's 1533-position model. The record is from RNAcentral.